UACGGAGGAUGCGAGCGUUAUUCGGAAUCAUUGGGUUUAAAGGGUCUGUAGGCGGGCUAUUAAGUCAGGGGUGAAAGGUUUCAGCUUAACUGAGAAAUUGCCUUUGAUACUGGUAGUCUUGAAUAUCUGUGAAGUUCUUGGAAUGUGUAGUGUAGCGGUGAAAUGCUUAGAUAUUACACAGAACACCGAUUGCGGAGGCAGGGGACUAACAGAUGAUUGACGCUGAGAGACGAAAGCGUGGGGAGCGAACAGG
Molecule: ribosomal RNA, 253 nt
Filed under: uncultured bacterium
Lineage: Bacteria
Description: partial 16S ribosomal RNA
Rfam family: Bacterial small subunit ribosomal RNA
Source: RNAcentral